This 253-nucleotide ribosomal RNA is filed under the name uncultured bacterium. RNAcentral's name for it is "partial 16S ribosomal RNA". It matches the Rfam family "Bacterial small subunit ribosomal RNA", at positions 524 to 776 of the family's 1533-position model. The record is from RNAcentral.
UACAGAGGUGGCAAGCGUUGUUCGGAAUUACUGGGCAUAAAGCGCACGCAGGCGGUCUGUUAAGUCAGGUGUGAAAGCCCCCGGCUCAACCGGGGAACAGCAUUUGAUACUGGCAAACUCGAGGAUGGUAGGGGUGAGUGGAACUCCAGGUGGAGCGGUGAAAUGCGUAGAUAUCUGGAGGAACACCGGUGGCGAAGGCGGCGUUCUGGACUGCAACUGACACUGAGGAACGAAAGCCAGGGGAGCAAACGGG